CACCGCGGUUAUACGAGAGACCCAAAUUGAUAUAUACGGCGUAAAGGGUGGUUAAAUCUACAAUAAACUAGAGCCAAACUCACCCCUGACUGUUAUACGUUACGGAAUGAAGAAGCACUAAACGAAAGUAGCUCUAAACAAUUGAACCCACGAGAGCUAGGGUA
Molecule: ribosomal RNA, 164 nt
Filed under: Callionymus meridionalis (whiteflag dragonet)
Lineage: Eukaryota; Metazoa; Chordata; Actinopteri; Syngnathiformes; Callionymidae
Description: Repomucenus meridionalis partial 12S rRNA
Source: RNAcentral